Molecule: long non-coding RNA, 673 nt
Organism: Chelonia mydas (Green sea turtle)
Lineage: Eukaryota; Metazoa; Chordata; Testudines; Cheloniidae
Exons: 3
Source: RefSeq, a predicted model, not a curated record
GAGGUUGAGGUGAAAGGAGCUGGAGGAGAGGAAGUAUUGCUGAAUCCUGAGCUCCAAGCAGCAGGGUAUGAGUCAGUCAGAGCCAGCGAGAAUCCAUCAGGGAGUUUGCAAGGGUGGAUCUACCUCGCUGGUAAUUAAUGGCUAACAUGGAUCAUGACACUAUGGAGUCUGUAUGGUUAGUUCUCAUAUCUGAGAUCAAUCAGCAGCUGUUAGAAACAUCCGCUCCUGUCAGAUUUGCCCAUGGAUUGCCUAUUUCAUAGCAAACUGUGCAGUGCGAUAUGUUCUUAUACAAUUUCAUUUAUAUAAAUCAUCACAGAGUGCUUUGAUAGUGAGAGUCAAUCUGUCAGAUCCUAAUCACUGUUGCUCUGAGGGAGACGAUCACAGGCCACUUCUGUAGUGCUGCUUAUGUUUAUCUCCUCCCCUAGUUAAGAUAUAAUACCAUGAAGUAUAACAAUAAGCAUGCAAAGUGCACUAAGUGUCUGAAAUCCAGUUGACAGAGGUUUACAUGCUAAAAAGGUGUUCAUCUCCCAGUUAUAGUGUGAGCUUUAAAUAUUGCUGAAAAUCUUGAGAAAAUUGAUAAACAUGUUUAAUGAUCUGCUGUUGAAGAUGGUUCAAACUAUAUCUACUAUUGAAUGAGCAGUAAAACACUAAUAAACUACUGAAACCUGGAACU